AGCUGCUUUACCUUGUUUUGCAAUCCAUGAUUAAAGACAGUUGUUUUACAAAUUCAGCCUUAAUAUAUUUUUGUAAGAUGUCGUUCUUCGUAGGUGAUCGUCUAAAUAUUAUUAUCAACUUGCGUACUUUUUUAAUGACUGGUCCAUAAUGAACUUCAUUCAAUUCAAUUUCAGAUCUUAAAGUUUCAUGAUUGUAGCCCAGUAAAUCUUCGUCUAUAUCCUCAUUCUCGGAUGACAAAAUGUCAAAAAACUCAUUUUCAAAUUUUGACUGAUUUGAAUCGAAUUCUCAUUUUUUAUAAAGAACAUCAAUUAAAGCAAGUUGUAUACCGUGAGCAAAACAUAAUUGUUGAUUUGUAGCUAGCAACUUUCGAACCUUUUUCAUAACACUAGCUUCGUCAGUCAUUAUAGCCGCAAUGUCACUGUGUAGAUCAAGGCAAUGGUCUUUAAGUUUUUUUUUCUAAUAGUUCAAUACACUUUUUUAUUCGCACUAAACCCAAACUCCAAAACUGAGACUUUUUUCCAUGAACGUUAAUAUUCAUAAAGCGACGGUUUCGAAGUCCAUUUUUCUAAAUACAAAGAAAAUUUCUAAUUCUGUAUUCUUAAGCGCUUUAAUUUGCUGAACUAAGCGUAAUCUUUCUUUUUUGCUGUACUCUUCUAAAUGAUUACGAAUUGUGUUUACUGACGUUAGUAGAUUUCCGAAUCCCAUAGCAGUUAAAACAGAACGUAAAUCUAUUGAAGUACAAAUCACAUUUAAUGAAAAUCCGUCAGACGCCUUUAGACAAGCAAGCGUAACGUGAAGUGUUUUAUCUUCCUUCUCAAAAAUUGAAAACUAUUCUGUUAGUGGUUUAGAUUUUUUUUUUGGUGGUUUAUCUGAUUUGUUUUCUCCGGUAAUAUUAGGUUGGGUUGGAUUUUCGACCAACUUCACAUUAUGCACCGACAAAAUUGGUAUAUAAAGUGCUUUUGUUGAACCAGUACAGAUUUUUGAAAUCUUCUUGCCAUUUGACAAUUUACACAGCGCUGUUUGCCCUUUCUCUUCUCGUAAAAAAUAUUUCUAAACAGCUGAGUUACUUUUAAUUGUAAAAUCCACAAACGCCAUGCUUAUUUAAGUUUUAAUUUUAAGAGUAAACCUUGUAAGAAACCCGCGUUUUUUUUUCAGUUUAAAAAAGUUUAUUUUGUAGAAUUACAGAACAAAAUAACUGAAAAUAGAAUUACUUUGGGUAAUAUUAUAAUAAAUAAAAAUUAUUAUAUUGAUGCGCAUAAAUUGUUGUUAUUUUUAUAUAUUUUUUAAUUCCCCCCUUUGUUUUGCUCGAUCGUAUUGGGAAUCCCGGAAUUGAUAUUUGACGAUCCUGGGAUUUCGUGAUUAUAAAAAAGGCCGGGAUCCCAGGAUUUUGGGAUCCCGGGAUUGCAAACCCUAUUGUUGACUUUAUUUUUUUUUUUUUUUAGGAGUUUAAUCAUUAUUUAAUAUUUUUUUCAAAUGAAAAAAAAACAAACUUUGUUGACUUUACAAUAAGAAUGCAAAAAGAAUAUAUUUUUGUUUACUUUGUAUAUUUCGCACUUUAUGUUUAUGAUAUUUAUGUUAGUAUAUCUUUACCACCAAUCUGUGAUUGUAACUUGUAAAUACUUUGUAGUUGUAAAAUAAACAUGUAAAAAAAAAAAAAAAUGUAGAUACUUGCAGAAGGUCAUAAGAUCUUUUCAUCGAGAACUGGUUAAAAAGAUUUUAAAUAAAAAAAUGUUUAAGAUGUUUUAAUUUGUAAUCAUACGGUUGCAACAUUUUAAAGUCAUCUUUUUAUAAUAAAAUGAUAAAUUUACUUGUCACAGCGUGACAUAUACUUUAUUUAGAAUCUGCUGUGAAUUAAAUUUUUAAUGGAAUUUCGGGCCAUAAUAAUUCAAGUAUCACAUGCUUUAAUAAAUAUAUUUUUAAAACGGAUGCAAGCACUAAAGAAGACAAUAACGUUUCAAAUUGAAGCAGAAAUUUAUAACGAAUCAUGUUGACGAUUGGAUAUGGAUCCCAGAAAAGCACCAUUGUCAAAUGGUUAUGACUCAAAUCUUUGUAUUAUAAUUUCUAUUUGUCGGGUUAAUAUAUUUUGAAAUUUAA
Non-coding RNA from Hydra vulgaris (swiftwater hydra), 2095 nucleotides. Lineage: Eukaryota; Metazoa; Cnidaria; Hydrozoa; Anthoathecata; Hydridae. The record is from RefSeq and is a predicted model, not a curated record.